UGAUGCGAUCAUACCAGCACUAAAGCACCGGAUCCCAUCAGAACUCCGAAGUUAAGCGUGCUUGGGAGAGAGUAGUACUAGGAUGGGUGACCUCCUGGGAAGUCCUCGUGUUGCAUUCC
RNAcentral lists this ribosomal RNA (119 nucleotides) under Triticum aestivum (bread wheat). Lineage: Eukaryota; Viridiplantae; Streptophyta; Magnoliopsida; Poales; Poaceae. The record is from RNAcentral.